GAAAAGAAACCAACCGGGAUUGCCUUAGUAACGGCGAGUGAAGCGGCAAAAGCUCAAAUUUGAAAUCUGGUACCUUCGGUGCCCGAGUUGUAAUUUGUAGAAGGUAACUUUGGGGCUGGUCCUUGUCUAUGUUCCUUGGAACAGGACGUCAUAGAGGGUGAGAAUCCCGUGUGGCGAGGAUCCCAGUUCUUUGUAAAGUGCUUUCGAAGAGUCGAGUUGUUUGGGAAUGCAGCUCUAAGUGGGUGGUAAAUUCCAUCUAAAGCUAAAUAUUGGCGAGAGACCGAUAGCGAACAAGUACAGUGAUGGAAAGAUGAAAAGAACUUUGAAAAGAGAGUGAAAAAGUACGUGAAAUUGUUGAAAGGGAAGGGCAUUUGAUCAGACAUGGUGUUUUGCGCCCUCUGCUCCUUGUGGGUGGGGGAAUCUCGCAGCUCACUGGGCCAGCAUCGGUUUUGGCGGCAGGAUAAAUCUUCAGGAAUGUAGCUUGCCUCGGUAAGUGUUAUAUCCUGGAGGAAUACUGCCAGCUGGGACUGAGGACUGCGACUUUACGUCAAGGAUGCUGGCAUAAUGGUUAUAUGCCGCCC
This 581-nucleotide ribosomal RNA is filed under the name Torulaspora delbrueckii. RNAcentral describes it as "eukaryotic LSU rRNA". It matches the Rfam family "Eukaryotic large subunit ribosomal RNA", at positions 56 to 650 of the family's 3401-position model. RNAcentral also lists the same sequence under 1 other name. Lineage: Eukaryota; Fungi; Ascomycota; Saccharomycetes; Saccharomycetales; Saccharomycetaceae. The record is from RNAcentral.